Molecule: long non-coding RNA, 399 nt
Organism: Onychostoma macrolepis
Lineage: Eukaryota; Metazoa; Chordata; Actinopteri; Cypriniformes; Cyprinidae
Exons: 5
Source: RefSeq, a predicted model, not a curated record
CGUGGGUUGUUUGCUUCUCUCCGUGAAUACAUCUGAGUGUGACCAGUGUAAGAGAAGCUGAUGCACUAUCGAUCCACUGAUGAUCUCUCUUCAUUUCUCUCAGCUGACGAGCGCGUGGGUUGUUUGCUUCUCUCCGUGAAUACAUCUGAGUGUGACCAGUGUAAGAGAAGCUGAUGCACUAUCGAUCCACUGAUGAUCUCUCUUCAUUUCUCUCAGCUGACGAGCGCGUGGGUUGUUUGCUUCUCUCCGUGAAUACAUCUGAGUGUGACCAGUGUAAGAGAAGCUGAUGCACUAUCGAUCCACUGAUGAUCUCUCUUCAUUUCUCUCAGAUUAAAAGUCACUGGAUCUCAUUGCUGAGUGUCUGAGUGGUUAUUGUGCAAUGAGUGACGGAUCCAGACA